This 30-nucleotide non-coding RNA is filed under the name Rattus norvegicus (Norway rat). Lineage: Eukaryota; Metazoa; Chordata; Mammalia; Rodentia; Muridae. The record is from RNAcentral.
UAAAAAAUGAGAGUCGAGGCCUGAAGAUGG